RNAcentral lists this ribosomal RNA (492 nucleotides) under uncultured bacterium. Its description in RNAcentral is "partial 16S ribosomal RNA". It matches the Rfam family "Bacterial small subunit ribosomal RNA", at positions 29 to 507 of the family's 1533-position model. The record is from RNAcentral.
AGUGAACGCUGGCGGUAGGCCUAACACAUGCAAGUCGAACGGCAGCACAGUAAGAGCUUGCUCUUACGGGUGGCGAGUGGCGGACGGGUGAGGAAUCCAUCGGAAUCUACUUUUUCGUGGGGGAUAACGUAGGGAACCUUACGCUAAUACCGCAUACGCCCUACGGGUGAAAGCAGGGGAUCUUCGGACCUUGCGCGAUUGACUGAGCCGAUGUCGGAUUAGCUAGUUGGCGGGGUAAAGGCCCACCAAGGCGACGAUCCGUAGCUGGUCUGAGAGGAUGAUCAGCCACACUGGAACUGAGACACGGUCCAGACUCCUACGGGAGGCAGCAGUGGGGAAUAUUGGACAAUGGGCGCAAGCCUGAUCCAGCCAUACCGCGUGGGUGAAGAAGGCCUUCGGGUUGUAAAGCCCUUUUGUUGGGAAAGAAAAGCAGCAGGUUAAUACCCCGCUGUUCUGACGGUACCCAAAGAAUAAGCACCGGCUAACUUCGUG